CUCACUGCAACCUCCACCUUCUCUGGAGAAGCUCCAAACAUGGUUCCUGGAGGAGGUGGGGGGAAAGGAGGUCCUCUCCUCAUGAACGGGCCCCUCGUAUCCACUGGAAACAAUAAACCUCUGAUUGGAGCAAGAGGUGGAGGAACAAAGCCAGGGCCAGUUGCUUCAUUUUCAGCGGGGAGAGAUGAAUCAGGCACCUUUAAAUUACCAAGAUUAUCUUUGGUAUCAUUUCUACUGGAUUCCAUUUCUGAAGGCAUUGACCCAUCCAUUUUAUCCAAAGAAGGCAUAUUAAAACUUCUGAGUUCUGCUGGUCCAGAGAGUCUAGCACAAUUAGAAUAAAAUCUGCCUUGCCUUUGUGGAGGAAGAGCUGAAUCAGGA
This 378-nucleotide long non-coding RNA is filed under the name Pan troglodytes (chimpanzee). RNAcentral's name for it is "long non-coding RNA NONPTRT007490". The record is from RNAcentral. Lineage: Eukaryota; Metazoa; Chordata; Mammalia; Primates; Hominidae.